This 220-nucleotide ribosomal RNA is filed under the name uncultured Diversispora. RNAcentral describes it as "partial small subunit ribosomal RNA". It matches the Rfam family "Eukaryotic small subunit ribosomal RNA", at positions 591 to 815 of the family's 1831-position model. The record is from RNAcentral. Lineage: Eukaryota; Fungi; Glomeromycota; Glomeromycetes; Diversisporales; Diversisporaceae.
CCAAUAGCGUAUAUUAAAGUUGUUGCAGUUAAAAAGCUCGUAGUUGAACUUCGGGGUUUACUCAUUGGUCAGGCUUAAUUGUCUGUACUGGUGAGAUGGAUCUCUACCUUCUGAGGAACUUUCAUGUCAUUAAUUUGGUGUGAUUGGAAAUCAGGACUGUUACUUUGAAAAAAUUAGAGUGUUUAAAGCAGGCUAACGUCUGAAUACAUUAGCAUGGAAU